RNAcentral lists this ribosomal RNA (399 nucleotides) under uncultured bacterium. RNAcentral's name for it is "bacterial SSU rRNA". It matches the Rfam family "Bacterial small subunit ribosomal RNA", at positions 53 to 497 of the family's 1533-position model. The record is from RNAcentral.
ACAUGCAAGUCGAACGAAGUAGCAAUACUUAGUGGCAGACGGGUGAGUAACAUGUGGGUAUCUACCCUUUGGCCUGGAAUAACACGAGGAAACUUGUGCUAAUACCGGAUAAGUCUUUACGGAGAAAGCUUUAUGCACCAUUGGAUGAGCCCGCACUUGAUUAGUUUGUUGGUAGGGUAAUGGCCUACCAAGACUAUGAUCAAUAGCUGAUUUGAGAGGAUGAUCAGCCACAUUGGGACUGAGACACGGCCCAAACUCCUACGGGAGGCAGCAGUGGGGAAUCUUGCACAAUGGAGGAAACUCUGAUGCAGCGAUGCCGCGUGAGUGAAGAAGGCCUUUGGGUUGUAAAGCUCUUUCGUCGGGGAAGAAAAUGACUGUACCCGAAUAAGAAGGUCCGGC